This 760-nucleotide ribosomal RNA is filed under the name Alloprevotella tannerae. RNAcentral's name for it is "bacterial SSU rRNA". It matches the Rfam family "Bacterial small subunit ribosomal RNA", at positions 28 to 774 of the family's 1533-position model. Lineage: Bacteria; Pseudomonadati; Bacteroidota; Bacteroidia; Bacteroidales; Prevotellaceae. The record is from RNAcentral.
GAUGAACGCUAGCUACAGGCUUAACACAUGCAAGUCGUGGGGCAGCGGAUACUUAGCUUGCUAAGUAUGCCGGCGACCGGCGCACGGGUGAGUAACGCGUACCGAACCUGCCCAUCACACAGGGAUAGGCUUGCGAAAGCAAGAUUAAUAUCUGAUGGUCUCAAUUUUAUGCAUGUAUGAUUGAGUAAAGCCUUCGGGCGGUGAUGGAUGGCGGUGCGUCCCAUUAGGAAGUUGGCGGGGUAACGGCCCACCAAUCCUUCGAUGGGUAGGGGUUCUGAGAGGAAGGUCCCCCACAUUGGAACUGAGAUACGGUCCAAACUCCUACGGGAGGCAGCAGUGAGGAAUAUUGGUCAAUGGGCGAGAGCCUGAACCAGCCAAGUAGCGUGCGGGAUGAAGGCCCUUGUGGUCGUAAACCGCUUUUAUCAGUGAAUAAAGUGCAUCACGUGUGGUGUCAUUGCAGGUAGCUGAAGAAAAAGGACCGUCUAAUUCCGUGCCAGCAGCCGCGGUAAUACGGAAGGUCCGGGCGUUAUCCGGAAUUAUUGGGUUUAAAGGUAGCGCAGGCGGGAGUAUAAGUCAUCUGUUAAAUAUCAUAUCCCAACUCUGUUAUGCAGUUGAAACUAUAUUUUUUGAGUACUCACAGGGAUGGCGGAAUUCUGGGUUGUAUCUGUGAAAAUGCUUAUAUAUCCUGAAAAACUCCUGAUCUGGAAUUUUCCUCCUGAUCUUAAUUGAUGCUUAUGUUCUAAUGUGCGGUAUUUAUAGG